GACCACUCUGGUGACCUAAGUGGUUAAAGUGUACGCUUUGGAUGUGGGAGGUCGCGGGUUCAAACCCUGGUCGAGUCA
Non-coding RNA from Potamilus streckersoni, 78 nucleotides. The record is from the annotation of a GenBank genome assembly. Lineage: Eukaryota; Metazoa; Mollusca; Bivalvia; Unionida; Unionidae.